RNAcentral lists this ribosomal RNA (429 nucleotides) under Chloroflexota bacterium. RNAcentral's name for it is "Chloroflexi bacterium partial 16S ribosomal RNA". It matches the Rfam family "Bacterial small subunit ribosomal RNA", at positions 355 to 776 of the family's 1533-position model. The record is from RNAcentral. Lineage: Bacteria; Bacillati; Chloroflexota.
UGGGGAAUAUUGCACAAUGGGCGCAAGCCUGAUGCAGCCAUGCCGCGUGUAUGAAGAAGGCCUUCGGGUUGUAAAGUACUUUCAGCGGGGAGGAAGGGAGUAAAGUUAAUACCUUUGCUCAUUGACGUUACCCGCAGAAGAAGCACCGGCUAACUCCGUGCCAGCAGCCGCGGUAAUACGGAGGGUGCAAGCGUUAAUCGGAAUUACUGGGCGUAAAGCGCACGCAGGCGGUUUGUUAAGUCAGAUGUGAAAUCCCCGGGCUCAACCUGGGAACUGCAUCUGAUACUGGCAAGCUUGAGACUCGUAGAGGGGGGUAGAAUUCCAGGUGUAGCGGUGAAAUGCGUAGAGAUCUGGGGGAAUACCGGUGGCGAAGGCGGCCCCCGGGACGAAGACUGACGCUCAGGUGCGAAAGCGUGGGGAGCAAACAGG